UACGUAGGGUGCGAGCGUUAAUCGGAAUUACUGGGCGUAAAGCGUGCGCAGGCGGUUCGUUAUGUCCGAUGUGAAAGCCCCGAGCUCAACUUGGGAAUGGCAUUGGAAACUGGCGGGCUGGAGUGUGGCAGAGGGGGGUGGAAUUCCACGUGUAGCAGUGAAAUGCGUAGAGAUGUGGAGGAACACCGAUGGCGAAGGCAGCCCCCUGGGCCAACACUGGCGCUCAGGCACGAAAGCGUGGGGAGCAAACAGG
RNAcentral lists this ribosomal RNA (253 nucleotides) under uncultured bacterium. Its description in RNAcentral is "partial 16S ribosomal RNA". It matches the Rfam family "Bacterial small subunit ribosomal RNA", at positions 524 to 776 of the family's 1533-position model. The record is from RNAcentral.